RNAcentral lists this unclassified non-coding RNA (176 nucleotides) under uncultured Trichoderma. RNAcentral describes it as "partial internal transcribed spacer 2". The record is from RNAcentral. Lineage: Eukaryota; Fungi; Ascomycota; Sordariomycetes; Hypocreales; Hypocreaceae.
CAACCCUCGAACCCCUCCGGGGGGUCGGCGUUGGGGAUCGGCCACCCCCUAGCUGGGGCGGCCGUCUCCGAAAUACAGUGGCGGUCUCGCCGCGGCCUCUCCUGCGCAGUAGUUUGCACACUCGCAACGGGAGCGCGGCGCGUCCAAUGCCGUAAAACACCCCAAACUUUCUGAAA